This 434-nucleotide small RNA is filed under the name Photobacterium ganghwense. Its description in RNAcentral is "cspA thermoregulator". It matches the Rfam family "cspA thermoregulator". The record is from Rfam by way of RNAcentral. Lineage: Bacteria; Pseudomonadati; Pseudomonadota; Gammaproteobacteria; Vibrionales; Vibrionaceae.
CUCGGCCUGUAAUGCAGUCCUAUUUAUGUUACAAAGUGAAAUAGAAACUUCGUUCCACCGCUUUACACAGCGUCGUCCUGAAGCAUUCAACGUUCUUUUGUCCAUAAGUAAUUCAUUAUGCUGGCUUAAGUGCGCAAUCUAGCGUGACAUCUAUAUUAUUUUCAGGAGACACAUCAUGUCUAAAGCAACUGGUAUCGUUAAGUGGUUCAACGACGAGAAAGGUUUUGGUUUCAUCACUCAAGACAACGGUGCUGACGUUUUCGUUCACUUCCGUGCUAUCACUGGUGAAGGCUUCAAAUCUCUGGCUGAAGGCCAAAAAGUAGCAUUCGACGUUGAGCAAGGCCAGAAAGGUCCUCAAGCUGCUAACGUAGAAAAAAUCUAAUUUUAGUUAGAUUAAAGAAUUUUUAAAGGGCGUUUUUAACGCCCUUUUUUAU